CCUACGGGAGGCAGCAGUGGGGAAUAUUGCACAAUGGGGGAAACCCUGAUGCAGCGACGCCGCGUGAGUGAAGAAGUAAUUCGUUAUGUAAAGCUCUAUCAGCAGGGAAGAAAAUGACGGUACCUGAGUAAGAAGCCCCGGCUAACUACGUGCCAGCCGCCGCGGUAAUACGUAGGGGGCAAGCGGUAUCCGGAUUUACUGGGUGGAAAGGGAGCGUAGACGGCAGUGCAAGUCUGGAGUGAAAGGCGGGGGCUCAACCCCCGGACUGCUCUGGAAACUGUACGGCUGGAGUGCAGGAGAGGUAAGUGGAAUUCCUAGUGUAGCGGUGAAAUGCGUAGAUAUUAAGAGGAACACCAGUGGCGAAGGCGGCUUACUGGACUGUAACUGACGUUGAGGCUCGAAAGCGUGGGGAGCAAACAGGAUUAGAUACCCGAGUAGUC
Molecule: ribosomal RNA, 440 nt
Filed under: uncultured bacterium
Lineage: Bacteria
Description: partial 16S ribosomal RNA
Rfam family: Bacterial small subunit ribosomal RNA
Source: RNAcentral